AUGGACGGCUCCAUCUCCACCACCACAUCCUCCUCCUCCCCUCUCCGCUUCGCCAAGAAGCCUCCCAGCCCGAGGCCCCUCCUCAACCCCGCCCCACGCCUCGCCCGCCGCCAGCCCACCCGCCUCCGCGCCAUCUCGCCGUCGCCGUCCCCUCCGACCCCGACGCCGCCGCCGCCGCAGCAGCAGCAGCCGAUGGAGGCGUUCGGCUUCGACGCGCUCAAGGAGACCUUCUCGGUGGACGUGGCGGCGGCCGAGGCGCGCCCACUCAACGUGCCGCUCGCCGCGCCCUUCACCAUCGCCUCCUCGCGCCUCGACGCCGUCUCCAACGUCGCCGUGCGGGUCGAGCUCUCCAGCGGCGCCGUCGGCUGGGGCGAGGCCCCGGUCCUCCCCUCCGUCACCGCCGAGGACCAGCCGGCCGCGCUCGCCGCCGUCGGACGCGCCUGCGCCGCGCUCGUGGCCGCCCGGGGCGCGCCCCUCGGCGCCGUGCUCCAGGACGUCGCCGACGCGCUGCCAGGACACGCCUUCGCGUCGGCCAGGGCAGGAGUGGAGAUGGCAGUGAUUGACGCAGUUGCUAACAGCAUCCGCAUACCCUUGUGGAGAUUAUUUGGCGGAGCAUCGAACAGUGUGACGACAGACAUCACGAUUCCAAUUGUUACCCCAAAUGAAGCCGCUCAAUUGGCUGCAAAAUAUCGGGGACAAGGGUUUCAAACUCUGAAGCUCAAAGUAGGAAAAAAUUUGAACUCAGACAUUGAAGUUCUGAAGGCUAUAAGGCUUGUCCAUCCUGACUGCUCAUUUAUCUUGGAUGCAAAUGAAGGGUACACAGCAAACCAAGCAAUUGAAGUCCUUGACAGACUAAACGAAAUGGGAGUAACUCCUGUACUCUUUGAGCAACCAGUUCAUAGAGAUGACUGGGAAGGUCUCCGUGAUGUUAGCAUUGCUGCUAUGGAGAAAUACAGAGUUGCUGUUGCUGCUGAUGAAAGCUGCCGCGGUUUACUUGAUGCUCAAAAAAUAAUACAUGGAAAUCUUGCUCAUGUUAUUAACAUCAAACUGGCAAAGUUAGGGGUUCUUGGAGCCCUCGAAGUAAUUGAUGCCGCAAGAAAAGCUGGUAUUGCACUUAUGAUUGGUGGUAUGGUCGAGACUAGGAUUGCCAUGGGCUUUGCCGGCCAUCUCACUGCUGGGCUUGGUUGUUUCAGUUUUAUUGACCUGGACACACCUCUUUUAUUGUCCGAAGAUCCAGUGUACGGUGGCUAUGAAGCUUCUGGACCUGUCUACAAGUUUAAGAAUGCUCGAGGCCAUGGCGGUUUCCUUCAUUUGGACAACAAUAAUGGAUGGAUACUUUACCUGGCCUCUGACCUACACAUGAUCUGA
RNAcentral lists this ribosomal RNA (1368 nucleotides) under Triticum aestivum (bread wheat). Its description in RNAcentral is "partial small subunit ribosomal RNA". Lineage: Eukaryota; Viridiplantae; Streptophyta; Magnoliopsida; Poales; Poaceae. The record is from RNAcentral.